Molecule: ribosomal RNA, 305 nt
Filed under: uncultured bacterium
Lineage: Bacteria
Description: bacterial SSU rRNA
Rfam family: Bacterial small subunit ribosomal RNA
Source: RNAcentral
CUCCUACGGGGGGCAACAGUGAGGAAUAUUGGUCAAUGGACGAGAGUCUGAACCAGCCAAGUAGCGUGAAGGAUGACUGCCCUAUGGGUUGUAAACUUCUUUUAUAUGGGAAUAAAGUUUUCCACGUGUGGAAUUUUGUAUGUACCAUAUGAAUAAGGAUCGGCUAACUCCGUGCCAGCAGCCGCGGUAAUACGGAGGAUCAGAGCGUUAUCCGGAUUUAUUGGGUUGAAAGGGAGCGUAGGUGGAUUGUUAAGUCAGUUGUGAAAGUUUGCGGCUCAACCGAAAAAUUGCAGUUGAAACUGGCA